RNAcentral lists this transfer RNA (72 nucleotides) under Ornithorhynchus anatinus (platypus). It matches the Rfam family "tRNA". From Rfam's summary of the family: Transfer RNA (tRNA) molecules are approximately 80 nucleotides in length. The record is from Rfam by way of RNAcentral. Lineage: Eukaryota; Metazoa; Chordata; Mammalia; Monotremata; Ornithorhynchidae.
AGCAGUGUGGCUUAGUGGAAAGAGCAUGGGCUUGGGAGUCAUAGAUCAUGGGUUCGAAUCCUGACUCUGCCA